Molecule: unclassified non-coding RNA, 89 nt
Filed under: Pseudomonas grimontii
Lineage: Bacteria; Pseudomonadati; Pseudomonadota; Gammaproteobacteria; Pseudomonadales; Pseudomonadaceae
Source: RNAcentral
UGUGGGAGGGGGCUUGCCCCCGAUGGCGGCGUGUCAGCUUGCAAAUGUGUUUCUGAUACAACGCCAUCGGGGGCAAGCCCCCUCCCACA